Molecule: ribosomal RNA, 1686 nt
Filed under: Salmonella enterica subsp. enterica
Lineage: Bacteria; Pseudomonadati; Pseudomonadota; Gammaproteobacteria; Enterobacterales; Enterobacteriaceae
Description: partial 23S ribosomal RNA
Rfam family: Bacterial large subunit ribosomal RNA
Source: RNAcentral
GGUGAACUCCACAUACGCAUCCUUUGCUGAGGAUACGGUUAACGGAGCGCAAGCGACGUUCAACCUCAAAAGAAGCAGAGGGGGCUUAGUGGUGGGGUGACUGCGUACCUUUUGUAUAAUGGGUCAGCGACUUAUAUUCUGUAGCAAGGUUAACCGAAUAGGGGAGCCGGAGGGAAACCGAGUCUUAAUUGGGCGUUAAGUUGCAGGGUAUAGACCCGAAACCCGGUGAUCUAGCCAUGGGCAGGUUGAAGGUUGGGUAACACUAACUGGAGGACCGAACCGACUAAUGUUGAAAAAUUAGCGGAUGACCUGUGGCUGGGGGUGAAAGGCCAAUCAAACCGGGAGAUAGCUGGUUCUCCCCGAAAGCUAUUUAGGUAGCGCCUCGUGAAUUCAUCUCCGGGGGUAGAGCACUGUUUCGGCUAGGGGGCCAUCCCGGCUUACCAACCCGAUGCAAACUGCGAAUACCGGAGAAUGUUAUCACGGGAGACACACGGCGGGUGCUAACGUCCGUCGUGAAGAGGGAAACAACCCAGACCGCCAGCUAAGGUCCCAAAGUCAUGGUUAAGUGGGAAACGAUGUGGGAAGGCCCAGACAGCCAGGAUGUUGGCUUAGAAGCAGCCAUCAUUUAAAGAAAGCGUAAUAGCUCACUGGUCGAGUCGGCCUGCGCGGAAGAUGUAACGGGGCUAAACCAUGCACCGAAGCUGCGGCAGCGACGCUGAUGCGUUGUUGGGUAGGGGAGCGUUCUGUAAGCCUGCGAAGGUGGCCUGUGAGGGUUGCUGGAGGUAUCAGAAGUGCGAAUGCUGACAUAAGUAACGAUAAAGCGGGUGAAAAGCCCGCUCGCCGGAAGACCAAGGGUUCCUGUCCAACGUUAAUCGGGGCAGGGUGAGUCGACCCCUAAGGCGAGGCCGAAAGGCGUAGUCGAUGGGAAACGGGUUAAUAUUCCCGUACUUGGUGUUACUGCGAAGGGGGGACGGAGAAGGCUAUGUUGGCCGGGCGACGGUUGUCCCGGUUUAAGCGUGUAGGUGUGUGUUCCAGGUAAAUCCGGUUCACUUUAACACUGAGGCGUGACGACGAGGCACUACGGUGCUGAAGCAACAAAUGCCCUGCUUCCAGGAAAAGCCUCUAAGCAUCAGGUAACAUCAAAUCGUACCCCAAACCGACACAGGUGGUCAGGUAGAGAAUACCAAGGCGCUUGAGAGAACUCGGGUGAAGGAACUAGGCAAAAUGGUGCCGUAACUUCGGGAGAAGGCACGCUGACAUGUAGGUGAAGUGAUUUACUCAUGGAGCUGAAGUCAGUCGAAGAUACCAGCUGGCUGCAACUGUUUAUUAAAAACACAGCACUGUGCAAACACGAAAGUGGACGUAUACGGUGUGACGCCUGCCCGGUGCCGGAAGGUUAAUUGAUGGGGUCAGCGCAAGCGAAGCUCCUGAUCGAAGCCCCGGUAAACGGCGGCCGUAACUAUAACGGUCCUAAGGUAGCGAAAUUCCUUGUCGGGUAAGUUCCGACCUGCACGAAUGGCGUAAUGAUGGCCAGGCUGUCUCCACCCGAGACUCAGUGAAAUUGAACUCGCUGUGAAGAUGCAGUGUACCCGCGGCAAGACGGAAAGACCCCGUGAACCUUUACUAUAGCUUGACACUGAACAUUGAGCCUUGAUGUGUAGGAUAGGUGGGAGGCUUUGAAGUGUG